GGGGCUGUGGCGCAACGGUAGCGCGUGGUACGUCUUACCUCAUUCAGCCUAGCUUGACCCCGCUAAUAUUCGAACAGCGACUCCAGAUCGCAAGGUUAUCCGUUCGAAUCGGGUCAGCCUCA
Non-coding RNA from Aspergillus carlsbadensis, 122 nucleotides. The record is from the annotation of a GenBank genome assembly. Lineage: Eukaryota; Fungi; Ascomycota; Eurotiomycetes; Eurotiales; Aspergillaceae.